GCCGCCAGAAUGAUGAACAGCGCCGAGAUCAGGAUCGCCGACAGCUCUUCUUUGAACGCCAGAAUAUCGCUGGUGUCCACGUCGCGCAUGUUGGCCAGCCAGAUGCCCAUGACCGUGAC
RNAcentral lists this small nucleolar RNA (119 nucleotides) under Oryza sativa (Asian cultivated rice). Its description in RNAcentral is "Z127 small nucleolar RNA". The record is from RNAcentral. Lineage: Eukaryota; Viridiplantae; Streptophyta; Magnoliopsida; Poales; Poaceae.